UACGCCUAAGUGUCCUUGGGCAAGACACUGAACCCCAAAUUCCUCCUAAUGUCAAGUUAGCACCUUGCGUGGCAGCUCUGCUACCACUGGUGUGUGUGUGUGUGUGUGUGUGUGUGUGUGUGAAUGGGUGAAUGAGAACCAGUGUAAAGCGCUUUAGAACCAUAGGGGUUAAGAAAGUGCAGACCAUUUCCCAUGCUUUUCUGUGAUAUAAUGGAUAUUCUGAUAUCCUUGGGUUAAAAAAAAAAAAAUUACAAAUUGUUAAAAGUAUUUAAAAUUAGAAGUGAAUAGAAGUAGUUAGAAGUUAGUAGUAGUUAGAAGUAGAAGUGGUAGAAGUGAAUAGAAGUAGAAGUAGUUAGAAGUAGAAGUGAAUAGCAGUAGUUAGAAUUAGAAGUAGUUAGAAGUGAAUAGAAGUAGGUAGAAGGGAACAGAAGUAGUUAGAAGUAGAAGUGAGUAGAAGUGAAUAGAAGUAGGUAGAAGGGAAUAGAAGUGGUUAGAAGUAGGUAGAAGUAGUUAGAAGUAGUAGUGAAUAGAAGUAAGAAGAAAUCGGUAGAAGUAGUCAGAAGUAGAAGUGGAUAGAAGUCGAAGUAGUUAGAAGUGAGUAGAAGUAGUUAGAUGUGGUUAAAAGUGAAUAGAAGUGAGUAGAAGUAGUUAGAUGUGGUUCGAAUUGAAUAGAAGCAGUUAGAAGUAGAAGUGAAUAAAAGUAAAUAGAAGUAGGUAGAUGUGAAUAGAACUGGUUAGAAGUAGAAGUGAAUAGAAGUAGUUAGAAAGUAGGAAUAGUUAGAAGUAAGUAGAAGUGAAUAGAAGUAGAAGUGAAUAGAAGUAGUUAGAAGUAAAGUGAAUAGAAGUAGUAGAAUGAGAAUAGAAGUAGAAGUGAGUGGAAGUGAGUGGAAGUGAGUGGAAGUGAGUGGAAGUGAGUAGAAGUGAGUAGAAGUAGAAGUAGUUAGUAGAAGUGAGUAGAAGUGAAUAGAAGUAGAAGUGAAUAGAAGUAGAAGUGAGUAGAAGUGAGUAGAAGUAGUUAGUAGAAGUGAAUAGAAGUAGAAGUGAUGAGUAGAAGUAGAAGUGAAUAGAAGUAGAAGUGAGUAGAAUGAGUAGAAGUGAAUAGAAGUAGAAGUGAGUAGAAGUAGAAGUAGUUAGAAGAAGUGAUUAGAUGGCAAGAUGUUGGACCUAAUGAUUAAAAUAAUUUGCUUGUAUGUGUGUUUUAGUGGCGCUCUGCUGCACUGUUGUACCGGCAGUAAUGCACAGACCUGUGUUCGUCAGGAGGCGUAUGGUAGAAAUACCUUCCAGAAUCAUGAUAUAUUUCAUAUCUCUCGCCCUCACACCUGGAAGCGAGUUGCACUUGUAUCCUCACAUGUAGAUAAUCCCUAAAUGUCCUGGCGCAGAGCUUCAGAACCUCCUCCUGGACUCUGUCAUGGUCAGAUUGACAGCUUUGUGCUGGGCCUGUCUCUGUGAUGAAGACGGAGACUGCUCGCUCCUCUGAGCGUGUUCCUGGAGCUCGGCGGUUCACGCCGGAGUGCUUUAGUUCUCUCGUUAAACCCCAGACGUCGCCUGAGCGGCGUAAACGUCAGUCCCCUGCCCCGCGUGACCCUGUAAGGCGCACGAGCGCGCCGAGCCGAGAUGUGGUGGAAGAGCCGCUGUAUUCUUUACUAGCUCUGGAACCGGAGCCUUGGCUUCUCGCGGCAGGUUAUACGGACACGACGCAGAGUCUCGGAGAGACUUUAUUGUACUUUUGUGUCCCGGAGCGCAUGCCUUGGUCUACUUCCUCUGACUAAAAAAAAUUUUUUUUUUUAAAUAAACGUGAUAUUUAAAAAUAUAUAUAUAUUUUGGAUGAUGC
Long non-coding RNA from Ictalurus punctatus (channel catfish), 1831 nucleotides. The record is from Ensembl. NCBI's taxonomy places the organism in Eukaryota, Metazoa, Chordata, Actinopteri, Siluriformes, Ictaluridae.